Molecule: non-coding RNA, 900 nt
Organism: Paramisgurnus dabryanus
Lineage: Eukaryota; Metazoa; Chordata; Actinopteri; Cypriniformes; Cobitidae
Source: RefSeq, a predicted model, not a curated record
UUAUUGUGUUUGUGCUUUUUGAACGGCUUUUUUGUAUAAGGUCACAGUAUUGUCCCAUUGCCCACUGCUGACAGGGGCAGUGGAGUCCAGCAGUGGGGAAAGUUUUUAUUAUUCAACAUGCAUUGAAUUCCCAGAGAUCGGCAAUAAGUCUUGGUGGAUUUUGCUUCGUCAACAAAUAGGAAAUUUGCACCGCUAAUCAAAUUAUUCGGUAGCGUUGCGUCAUUGUUCUGUAAGCUGAUGAGCCUGAAUCCCUAAAGGCUGAGUCAUGAAUUGGAAAAGUGCAGAACAAAGCAACUAGGCUUGAUCAAAUUACAAGCAUAGCUCUUAUGAGGAUUAACUACCUGGUUAAAUUAUUAAAUGGACAUCAACUUGUUCUUAACACAAAGGUUCACCUAUUCAUUACUUGUUUCUGUUUUAUAGUUGGCACAAGUCCAGGAUCAGAUCUCCAAAAUUUCCAGGGAUCGUGUCGGUUUUCUUCUGAGUUUAGUGGAAAGUGCUAUGGCCAAUGAUGCUAUUAUCACAAAUGAACAAAAGAUCAAAGACAGACAGGUGAGAAGAGAUGAAAGCUGUGCAUGAAGAGGAAGUUAAGAUGAAGCAGAACCGAUCCAUCAAAGCCCACCCUAAAUAGCCAACAGACAGGGAUGAGCUAUUCCUGUGGCCAUGGCGACCAGACCAAAGUAAUGUCAGGGAAGGAAAAAAUGUCCCUGAAUCAGUCGUGCAACUGUAAAUGUAUUAAUGAGCUUCAUCCAACCUCACGAAGGGUGGUGAUGAAUCUAUAACAUGUCCAUGGAGAAAUGGUUUGAUGAGUUCAUUUAUGAUUUAUAAUCUUCUUACCGAGGUCUUGAUUCACACACUUACAAAUUCUCCGACCCUUUUUUCUCAGAAGCAUAUGAGGAAUCU